RNAcentral lists this small RNA (383 nucleotides) under Vigna angularis var. angularis. RNAcentral's name for it is "Non-protein coding transcript". The record is from RNAcentral. Lineage: Eukaryota; Viridiplantae; Streptophyta; Magnoliopsida; Fabales; Fabaceae.
UGUUAGUUAACUUUCCCCCUUUCUCGUAGAAACAACAGCCCUAGAAUUUCUUCCCCUCCUUCUCCGUCAAUUCAGUCCUUCGACAUCGUGAAGCAUGAGCAACUAUAAAUUUGAGAAGCUCAAACCCGCUGCUGAGGAGGUUGAGCACGUGGUGGCGCUAAUGCUUCUCCUAUGAAGGUCAAAGACGGUGUUGUGAUUGUCCUAAAGGAUAACAAUUGCAAAGUUUGAGAUCAUCCAGAAAGCAUUAUCAACUUGAAAAGUCUACUCGGGUAUUGAGCGUUUACUAAAAUUUACUUAAAAAGAACUGAAUUUUUUUUUUCAAUAAAAAAUUGUAACUUUGGAAAAAGAGAAUAGAAUCGAGUUUCUUUUAUUAUUUAGAAUCU